This 562-nucleotide long non-coding RNA is filed under the name Olea europaea subsp. europaea. Lineage: Eukaryota; Viridiplantae; Streptophyta; Magnoliopsida; Lamiales; Oleaceae. The record is from RNAcentral.
UAUGUAUGAAAAAAGAAAAUGUAAUGUUGUCAUUGUUAAUUCCAGGGCCUCAAUAGCCUGGGAAUGAUAUUGAUAUAUAUUUGCAACCACUUAUAGAUGACUUGAACGAAUUGUGGAAUAUUGGGAUGAAUGUGUAUGAUGCACACACUAAUGCAGCCUUCAACUUGAGAGCAAUACUUAUGUGGACUAUUAAUGAUUUACCAGCUCUUGAAAAUUUAGCUGGAUGUAAAAUUAAGGGUAGGACAGAUUGCCCUAUAUGUUCUCAGAAUACUCAUUCACAGUGAUUAAAAUUCAGCAGAAAAUUUGCAUACAUGGGUCAUAGGAGAUUUUUGUCACCAUUUCAUCCGUUAAGGAAAAAGAAAUCUUGGUUUGAUGGACAUGAAGAAAAGGGAAGCAAACCUAAAAUUAUGUCUGGUAGCAACAUUCUGGUUACUCUUAAAAAUUAUGUCAACAAUUUUGGGAAAGCUCAGAAACGAAAAAGAAAGACAAAUGAUGGGAGCAUGCUAACAUGGAAAAAGAGAUCAAUCUUUUUAAACUUACCAUAUUGGGAGGUAAGAUUUUG